This 574-nucleotide ribosomal RNA is filed under the name uncultured bacterium. RNAcentral describes it as "bacterial SSU rRNA". It matches the Rfam family "Bacterial small subunit ribosomal RNA", at positions 68 to 686 of the family's 1533-position model. The record is from RNAcentral.
GCCUGUAGCAAUACAGGAGCGGCAGACGGGAGAGUAACACGUGGGAACAUACCUUUUGGUUCGGAACAACUGAGGGAAACUUCAGCUAAUACCGGAUAAGCCCUUACGGGGAAAGAUUUAUCGCCGAAAGAUUGGCCCGCGUCUGAUUAGCUAGUUGGUGAGGUAACGGCUCACCAAGGCGACGAUCAGUAGCUGGUCUGAGAGGAUGAUCAGCCUCAUUGGGACUGAGACACGGCCCAAACUCCUACGGGAGGCAGCAGUGGGGAAUAUUGGACAAUGGGCGCAAGCCUGAUCCAGCCAUGCCGCGUGGGUGAUGAAGGCCUUAGGGUUGUAAAGCCCUUUCGGCGGGGAAGAUAAUGACGGUACCCGCAGAAGAAGCCCCGGCUAACUUCGUGCCAGCAGCCGCGGUAAUACGAAGGGGGCUAGCGUUGCUCGGAAUCACUGGGCGUAAAGCGCACGUAGGCGGAUUCUUAAGUCGGAGGCGAAAUCCUGGAGCUCAACUCCAGAACUGCCUUUGAUACUGAGGAUCUUGAGUUCGGGAGAGGUGAGUGGAACUGCGAGUGUAGAGGUGAAA